Molecule: non-coding RNA, 4693 nt
Organism: Nylanderia fulva
Lineage: Eukaryota; Metazoa; Arthropoda; Insecta; Hymenoptera; Formicidae
Source: RefSeq, a predicted model, not a curated record
CACACAAUUAUGUAUUAUUCAUUCGAUCAAUAUCAUCGUGGACCAGCCAUCUUUUUUUCUUUGUUCCCUCCAUCAGUCUAUAGGUGUCCACGACGCAGUAAGCCACGUGCUUUCUACAAAGCGGAGUUGGUGCAUAGAAUAUCAUUCGAUUCGUUAAGAUAAAAGCUGCAAGUUAUUUUUAUAUUAUUAUAUAAUGAUCACGAUACAGGAUUUAUCUAACGAAAUUAUAUUAAGUAUUCUGGAAAACGAAAGUAUUAGCUUGAGGGACGUUGAGAAUUUUAGUUUCACGUGCAAGGGAUUUGAGUGGAUAUCCCAUUGUGAACCUCUCUGGAAGAAAAAAUAUGCUAAGAGAUGGCCUACUGUACAGCUGUUGUGUAAAGACAAAAUGGGCAUUGAAUUUAAUGACUUGAAUGUUGAAGAUUUUAGAGAGGGUCUGAAAUGUGCGGAAAACUUGUGGCUUUUUGUGCCUCGUAUGUCUCAGAUGUUGUAUUACCGUAAUCUACAGUGCGACUACAUUAAUAUACAAUCUUUUGAUCUGCAUGCAAAAAGCACCCUUUAAAUUUGUUGAUUUUACAUGCUGAACUUAUUAGAAAUAUAUAUCAACAAGAUCCAUGCCAAUGCAAUUUAACAGAAAGAUAUUACAGCAAAAUGAUAUUUCACUUUCUGUAUCAAAACAUUUUUGAUUCUUUACUUUGGAAAACAAUUAUGGAAAGACCUAUUCAUAUGCAGCGUUUGGAGGAUUUAAUUGUCGUAUUAUUACAAUAUUGUCAUCCCAAUGAGGGUAUUACUAUGUUGUAUAUAGAUAAAUUCAUAGACAAUAUUGUGCAAGACGUAUUAAAGUUCUUGAAAGAUAAUUAUCGUCCGCAUCCAAUAUUGUCCAUAUUAUCUGAACAAUUAUCGUUUGGGAGAAAUAAUCGUAUUAAUGAGAAUUUUUGGUGCGUAAAAUACGCAAAAAUAAUAAAAUAUGUACUCGACAAAAUUAUUUUAAGUUUUGAUUCUUAUGAACCAUGGAUGAAACCGAAUCAAAUAAGUAUGAAUCCUAUUUUCAAAAUGUCGACUAAAGAAGACACAUUAUAUUAUAGACAAGCGUUGUGGUAUGCAAUAUAUAUCUGCGUUGCAAACAGAUUGGGUUUACAUGUUGUGACAAAAAAACACGGUAUAGACAAUAAUUAUGCUCUAAAUACACAUUUGGUUUGGCAAUCCGGAAAGUGUACAGAAAAUAGAGAAUGUUUCACGUUUAAAUGGACAGAUAAUAAAGAUAAUCCAAAGAUUUCUGACAUAAGUAAAUGCCGAGGAGUAAGUAGGUAGUAAUUAAUAUUUAUAUAAAAUAUUGGUAGUUUUCGACUUUCACUUUCUAAAGUUUAUAACUCCAAAACAGGAUGGACGUUUACUUCAACGAUGUUUGAUAUAAAAGACAUAAUCAGCGAUGCUUCCUCUGUAAAAUAUUUUAAGAACAUUGAAAUCAAUAAGCUUAAUUCUAAUAAAUCAAGAAGAACAUAUAAUAUAUAACAUUAGUUUUAGAUUAUAAAGUUUUGAAAAUAUAUCUAAAUGUAUUUUUUCUUACACACAUUUAUAAUUUGAAUAUAAUCAUUACAUAUGAUAUCAUAAGUGAUUUUGAUUCAAAAUUUAAUAACAAUUUUUCUUAAAGCUUUGGUCGUCAAAAUCGGUUGAAGUUGACAGUAGCAUUCGGGAUAUAUAUGUUUUGUGGAAACGUGUCUGCUUUCCCUUUGACGAUCUCUGUUAUAGAGCAGCAUCAAUAAAUUUGUAUAAUGAGAAAAUAUGUACUCCACAUGAUACGUUUCGGGAAAAAAGAUCGCCUAAUUUAAAAUAUGCGAUUGGAUUGAUAGUUACACAUAAGCAUAAAAUGAAAGAUAAUACACGAAAAGAUGUUGCUGGGGUCAUUAUUGGGUGGCACAACGAAUGCCACUUUGAACGUUUUACGUAUAAGAGUACAUGUUAUAAUUUUCGAAUUCAUUUGAAAAUAUGCUUUGGAUACCGAAAAAUAAGAUUGUUAAUUGGAAAACGCAACCGCACUACGUUUUGUUAAUCGAGAAUGAUCUGUGUUACGUUCCACAAUAUGUUAUAACAUCGGUAUGCAAAAAAUGGAUAAAUAAUCUAGAAGUUGGAAAAUAUUUCUGUAAAUUUGAAGAUACUCAUUAUGUGCCAAAUAACAUGCUAGGACAGCAUUAUCCAGACGAUGCCGCAGUCGUUCGCGACAUAUUAUUGAAUAAUCUAAAAUUAUAAUAUUGUGAAUGGUGUAGAAGUAUGUGUGUCUGCUCUUUUAUAGUCCGGAUUGAAUUUCAAAAGAAAAUGAUAACUUAAUACUAAGAAGAGCAGAUAAAGAACAUUGGAAAAAGACCUAAUAAAAAAGCAAUCUGACUUACAAGAAACUUCCAAGAAAAUCGUGAAGGAACCAUGUCCACGGAUUAUUGUCACCAAGGUGUCACAUAUAAUAGUCGGAUUUUUAUCGAUGGAACGACGUUGCUGGACGUGUGAUGUUUUAUUUCUUAUCAUCUUGUCGCGGACGUAAAUUGCUGCUUGUCCUUGAUAGUCCGUGAUAGACAAAUUUAUCUAUUCCUUUAUGGUCCUGAUCAAUUGGAUAAUGGAGACUUGGAAAUUUGCUUCGUAUACACAUUGGAUGAAUUUUCUGUGUAACAUAGAAUCCUGAAGAUGAUGAUUCUAGAUGUCAUUUAUCUCAGCACGAAGCCAUCUGAUGAGUGAGAGCCACAUUAGUUCUUGACAAAAUUAUUCGCUGGAAGAAAAUAAAAUUAUGUCCACUUCUUCAAAAAAAUGAGUCGUGCUUGGAUUUUAUAUCUUCAGCCACUUGUCCUAUUUGAUUUUCUUCGUAAACGCCAUGUUGCUUGAGCUAGCCAUUUUGUACUCGUAUGAUUUAAGUAGCAAACAUCACCAUGACAGCAACAGAUGUUCUCCGGCAUCAAUUCUUCUUCUUCUUAUUUUUUCGUUGACAAGGAACAGAUGAAUAGUUAAGAACUAGAAAUACUUGACAAAGAAUCACAAUAUAACAAAAGAUUAAUUUCAGAGAUGAUAUUCAUAAAAAGGCAAAAUAACAGUCUUAAUUUAAAAACAGAUAUUGAUGGCUUGCCAGUAAUUUAUGACGAUAUAAUACAUAGACUACCUAAGAUCAUGAUAUAAAGACAAGGGUAUGCUUAUGCACAUAGUAACGCCAGCUAACCAAUGAGAAUUGCAGCCUGACUACGUCAUCAUUAGGCGUCAAAUUCGAAGCGCUUAUUCUUAUGUUUGCCGAGUACACGUAGAGAAACUGAAAAAUAAUCACUGCCACUGGUGAUAAUCAGUAAAAUAAAAUAUAUAAUACAUAAUUAAGUAAACAAUAAACAAUGUAAUUACGGAAUAAACGAAAGGCUCACAAGAGUAAUGAAUAAAAAGUGUCACAUCAGUUUAUAACAACCACGCGCUUGUAUGCCUGCAGCAGUCAUAUUUUAUCGGCCGAAGUGAUCCGAACGUAGCCGAGGCUGUACGAAUGUGACGUUGGCAGGCUGCUGCGCAAGAAUGUCUUAAAUUCGUCCACCGAAUGAGCAUACCCUUGUCUUUAUAUCAUGCCUAAAAUGUGAAAGUUAAAAAACAAAAACUAACUAUUUUCUCCGUUGUGUGGUCGUCUCUCUGAAAGAUAAAAAUCAUUCGUUAUUGUAACCUCGAGCAAUCAACAUCUGAAAGCCUUCACGUCACAAUAUAAUAUCUUACUCGAUUAUGUAUUAUUCAUUCGAUCGAUUAAUAUCGGGUGUAAUAUAUAUGAUAGAUAUCCUUGAUGCAAGUGAGAGUGACACUAAUUGUAACAUGACUCAUUGAUUCCUUUAAUAAGUUUUGAUGACUUUUCAUGUCACAAUUAAAUUUUCUUUUUAUAAGAAUAACGACAAUUUAUGUAUAGAGUAAAUUCAUAUAACAUUAUUAGGGUUUUUUUAAUAAAGGAGUAAAUUCAUAUAAUAUUAUUAAGGUUUUUUUAAUAAAGAAUUGUCAAGAAUUUUCUAAUGUUUUCAACAGUCAAUAAUUAGUACUUUGGUAUUUGUUGAUUGAGAAGGCUUUACUUUACUGCAUUCUUUUUCAAUUAUAAGUUAUAUUUGAUAAAGUAGAAUUCAAAAGAUAAACGACAAUUGAGAAUUAGAAUUCUGUUGUCAUAAUUGUUUAAUUUUAAAACAAGAAAAUAGAGUAAAUUCAAGAGAACAAUGUGAAAAAAACUACGAUGUAAUAAAAUCUUGUAGUAAAUAUGCAUCUCACACUAGUUUUUAUAUAAAUAACAUAAUAAAUUAUAUACAAGAUAAGCCGCUUAUCUCUUCCUUGGAAAUAAAAAACGUCAGUUUAAUAGAAAUAUAUUUAGAUUUUUUUACAGAAUAUAAAAACAAUUUUAAAAUAAUAUUAAAAAAAAAAUCAAUAAAGUUGUAAUAGAAUUAACUUAGCAUACGCAGCAAAAGUUGCUAUUAUUUUAUGUCGUAGAUAAUUCAUAGUCUAUAGUGUAAGACAAACAAUAGAACAAGACCUGAAAAUUGUACAAAAGAAAAUACAUUUUUUUCCCCACUAACAAAAAACGUAGGCCAAAAUCUCAGGAUAGAGUCCAAGAAAAAUAGUUGUGAAAACUCCAAAAAUAAUAAUAAAUUGCAGUUCUUUAUCAAUUCCUCAAUUUAACGUACACGCAACUUUGAGGAAUAGAGCUUUACAUAUU